This 108-nucleotide ribosomal RNA is filed under the name Thiotrichaceae bacterium. The record is from RNAcentral. Lineage: Bacteria; Pseudomonadati; Pseudomonadota; Gammaproteobacteria; Thiotrichales; Thiotrichaceae.
CCCGGUGAUCAUAGGCUGCUGGCCAUACCCGUUCCCAUCCCGAACACGGUCGUCAAGCAGUAGCCGCCGAUGAUAUUGCUUCAGCGAGAAAGUAGGUUAUCGCCGGGU